GGGUGCGAUUAUACUAGCACUAAUGCACCAGAUCCCAUCAGCACUCCGCAGUGAUGCGCGCGUGGGCGAGAGUAGUACUAGGAUGGGUGACCCCCUAGGAAGUCCUCGUGUUGCACCCU
Molecule: ribosomal RNA, 119 nt
Organism: Cornus florida
Lineage: Eukaryota; Viridiplantae; Streptophyta; Magnoliopsida; Cornales; Cornaceae
Source: RefSeq, a predicted model, not a curated record